Molecule: ribosomal RNA, 450 nt
Filed under: uncultured bacterium
Lineage: Bacteria
Description: partial 16S ribosomal RNA
Rfam family: Bacterial small subunit ribosomal RNA
Source: RNAcentral
GUGGGGAAUUUUGGACAAUGGGCGCAAGCCUGAUCCAGCAAUGCCGCGUGCAGGAAGAAGGCCUUCGGGUUGUAAACUGCUUUUGUACGGAACGAAACGGUUCUCUCUAAUACAGGGGGCUAAUGACGGUACCGUAAGAAUAAGCACCGGCUAACUACGUGCCAGCAGCCGCGGUAAUACGUAGGGUGCAAGCGUUAAUCGGAAUUACUGGGCGUAAAGCGUGCGCAGGCGGUUUUGUAAGACAGAGGUGAAAUCCCCGGGCUCAACCUGGGAACUGCCUUUGUGACUGCAAGGCUGGAGUGCGGCAGAGGGGGAUGGAAUUCCGCGUGUAGCAGUGAAAUGCGUAGAUAUGCGGAGGAACACCGAUGGCGAAGGCAAUCCCCUGGGCCUGCACUGACGCUCAUGCACGAAAGCGUGGGGAGCAAACAGGAUUAGAUACCCGGGUAGUCC